GUAUAUAAAUGCGUUAUACGCAGAGAUACAUUCUUAAACUGAAGCGUUUGUAAAAACAUAGGAAGGCUUCCAAGCAAGUCUAAUCACUUAGACUUACUCUUCCACCGACCUACAAUAAGUGCACAGAGGUUGAAGAGUGGAUGAGCCAGGCGUGCACAUGCCCCUGAAGGCCAGCUACAACCUGUUCAAUAACUCGUUAAUGAUCCUUCCGCAGGUUCACCUACGGAAA
Molecule: unclassified non-coding RNA, 229 nt
Filed under: uncultured fungus
Lineage: Eukaryota; Fungi
Description: sequence contains ITS1
Source: RNAcentral